Molecule: unclassified non-coding RNA, 202 nt
Filed under: Hevea brasiliensis (rubber tree)
Lineage: Eukaryota; Viridiplantae; Streptophyta; Magnoliopsida; Malpighiales; Euphorbiaceae
Source: RNAcentral
AAAAAAAAACUGAUAAAAACAAAAAACAUAUUCAGGUAACAGAGACCCAAUGCUCAGCAUUCGGUUGCGUGCGUAUCAACACCUUCGAAAGUAAAAUGGUGAAAAUAAAAAGAAAAUAGCAAUACACAAGUUAUCCAACGAUGCAAAUAAUGACUUAAAAAGCAGAAAUUAACAAGAAAAGUAACUAAAAGGAUGAAUGGAA